Molecule: long non-coding RNA, 238 nt
Filed under: Elaeis guineensis (African oil palm)
Lineage: Eukaryota; Viridiplantae; Streptophyta; Magnoliopsida; Arecales; Arecaceae
Description: long non-coding RNA (EGUI_LNC029941)
Source: RNAcentral
CAAAAACUCGCAUGUAGUAGCUACAUACUCGGUUCAAAGUUUUCCGCUUUUGUUUGGUCUGCUGAUGCCUUAAAUCUAAUAUUAAAUCUAAUAGCAGACAGAGACAAUUCUAGAAUUGGCAUCCAAAUUAUGAUGGUAGACAAGCACUGAUCCAUCCAUCUUUGUCCAUGACUUUGCUCUAUUUAUGAGGCAUCACCAAUUUUAGUGCCAUCAAAAUGUCAGAAUAGAGUUGUUGAUG